Molecule: transfer RNA, 69 nt
Filed under: Ictidomys tridecemlineatus (thirteen-lined ground squirrel)
Lineage: Eukaryota; Metazoa; Chordata; Mammalia; Rodentia; Sciuridae
Description: Spermophilus tridecemlineatus (thirteen-lined ground squirrel) tRNA
Rfam family: tRNA
About the family: Transfer RNA (tRNA) molecules are approximately 80 nucleotides in length. Their secondary structure includes four short double-helical elements and three loops (D, anti-codon, and T loops).
Source: Rfam by way of RNAcentral
GGGGUUAUAGCUCAGUGGUAGAGCGCUUGUCUUGCAUGCAUGAGGCCCUGGGUUCGAUCCUCGGCACCA